This 1286-nucleotide unclassified non-coding RNA is filed under the name uncultured Neocallimastigales. RNAcentral's name for it is "partial contains small subunit ribosomal RNA, internal transcribed spacer 1, 5.8S ribosomal RNA, internal transcribed spacer 2, and large subunit ribosomal RNA". The stretch from base 570 to 1286 matches the Rfam family "Eukaryotic large subunit ribosomal RNA", at positions 1 to 634 of the family's 3401-position model. Lineage: Eukaryota; Fungi; Neocallimastigomycota; Neocallimastigomycetes; Neocallimastigales. The record is from RNAcentral.
UUCCGUAGGUGAACCUGCGGAAGGAUCAUUAAUAAAUUUUUUUUGGAAAUAAAAAAAAAUAAUAAUCAUCCUACCUUUGUGAAUUGUUUGUUGAAUAAUUUUUAAAAUUAUUUAUUGUCAUCCAAGUGGAAAGUUGUAAAGACGAAGACUUGGAGCGGCAUAAAUAAGUUAAAGACUUUUUUAAAAUUAAACUUUUGUAUUCAUUUGUCUAAAUAAUUUUAUAAUAUAUAAAACAACUUUGACAAUGGAUUCUUGUUCUCGCAACGAUGAAGAACGUAGCAAAAUCGAUAAGUAAUGUGAAUUGCAGAAUACGUGAAUCAUCGAUCUCGAACGCAUAUUGCACUUUUUAGUUUACUAAAAGUAUGUCUGUUUGAGUAUCAGUAAAAUAUUCCAUAAAUUUUAAUUUAUGGUUAUGAGUGUUUACAACGAUAAACAAGUUGUUCACUUUAAUUGAUUUUUUGAGAAAUUCUAAUUCAAAUAAUUGGAUAAAAUUUUCCCGUAAAAAGGAAUAACUAUACAAGUUAAUAAGAAUUUAGUGAUUCUUUAUGAAAAGGAAUUUAUUAAAUAACUGAUCUCAAAUCAGAUAAGAGUACCCGCUGAACUAGCAUAUCAAUAACGGAGGAAAGAAACUAACAAGGAUUCCCUAGUAACGGCAGUGAAGCGGGAAGAGCUCAAAUUGAAAUCUUAAAGGGUUCCUUUACGAAUUGUAGUUUAAAGAAGUGUUUCUGUUGAGGUUUGGUAAAGUUCUUGAUAGGCAUCAUAGAGGGUGAGAAUCCCGUAUUGACCUUACUUCAACUUUGUGAUACACUUCAAGAGUCGAUUGUUGGGAUGCAGUCCAAAUGGGUGUAAAUUUCAUCUAAAGCUAAUAUUGGCGAGAGACGAUAGCGACAAGUACCGUGAGGGAAAGAUGAAAGAACUUUGAAAGAGAGUUAAACAGUACGUGAAAUUGUCAAAGGAAGCGUUGACACAGUGUUGUUUUCUGAAAUCAAUUAAAGAACGUUUAUGCUAAGUUGUUAGACUUAUCAGCUAACUGUUUAGUUUUGAGCUUUUCUUUAAUGCACUUUCAGUUAACAAGUCAACAUCAAUUUCUUUUGCUGUAAAAAAGCUGAGGAAGUGGCUUGAGAUUCGUCUUAAGUGUUUAGCCCUUGCCUAGCAGUCGGAGAGAUUGAGGUCUGCAGCGUAGAUCCUUCGGGCUAAAUGCAUUUGGCUAGUUAUAGCUUUAUAGACAACUUGUUGACUAUGAUUUCUGUAGCUACUCGCUUAUUUAUUUACUACGCUUAGGAUGU